UACGAAGGGGGCUAGCGUUGUUCGGAAUCACUGGGCGUAAAGCGCACGUAGGCGGAUCUUUAAGUCAGGGGUGAAAUCCCGAGGCUCAACCUCGGAACUGCCUUCGAUACUGCGGGUCUCGAGUCCGGGAGAGGUGAGUGGAAUUCCUAGUGUAGAGGUGAAAUUCGUAGAUAUUAGGAAGAACACCAGUGGCGAAGGCGGCUCACUGGCCCGGUACUGACGCUGAGGCGCGAAAGCGUGGGGAGCAAACAGGG
This 254-nucleotide ribosomal RNA is filed under the name uncultured bacterium. Its description in RNAcentral is "partial 16S ribosomal RNA". It matches the Rfam family "Bacterial small subunit ribosomal RNA", at positions 524 to 777 of the family's 1533-position model. The record is from RNAcentral.